GUUUCUUGCCAACGGUACCAAACAUUUAGAUUCUAGAUCUAGAUUUUGAUUGUACUAAAAUUAAAGUUAGUCUUUUGGACUGUUGGGGCUCCAGGCAAGACUCGUCUACUGUCUUUCUCCAUUCCUGCCUGGUCGUGCGGUUUGCGCCCUGGACUGUUGUUCAGAUUUAUCGAAGGUCCGGGUUCAAAACCCUGCCCGCUCCCACCACCCGUCGUCCUGGAGGAGGUUUGGACUAGGAAGUAAUUAUCUUCAACUCUGAGGGAACAUCCGAAACAUAGACCAGAGUAAAGAGUUUUCGGUGAAGUGUUUCACGCAUGUAACAAUUUGUUUUG
Molecule: long non-coding RNA, 332 nt
Organism: Biomphalaria glabrata
Lineage: Eukaryota; Metazoa; Mollusca; Gastropoda; Planorbidae
Exons: 3
Source: RefSeq, a predicted model, not a curated record